UACGUAGGUGGCAAGCGUUAUCCGGAUUUAUUGGGCGUAAAGGGAACGCAGGCGGUCUUUUAAGUCUGAUGUGAAAGCCUUCGGCUUAACCGGAGUAGUGCAUUGGAAACUGGGAGACUUGAGUGCAGAAGAGGAGAGUGGAACUCCAUGUGUAGCGGUGAAAUGCGUAGAUAUGUGGAAGAACACCAGUGGCGAAAGCGGCUCUCUGGUCUGUAACUGACGCUGAGGUUCGAAAGCGUGGGUAGCAAACGGG
Molecule: ribosomal RNA, 253 nt
Filed under: uncultured bacterium
Lineage: Bacteria
Description: partial 16S ribosomal RNA
Rfam family: Bacterial small subunit ribosomal RNA
Source: RNAcentral